RNAcentral lists this ribosomal RNA (429 nucleotides) under Chloroflexota bacterium. RNAcentral describes it as "Chloroflexi bacterium partial 16S ribosomal RNA". It matches the Rfam family "Bacterial small subunit ribosomal RNA", at positions 355 to 776 of the family's 1533-position model. Lineage: Bacteria; Bacillati; Chloroflexota. The record is from RNAcentral.
UGGGGAAUAUUGCACAAUGGGCGCAAGCCUGAUGCAGCCAUGCCGCGUGUAUGAAGAAGGCCUUCGGGUUGUAAAGUACUUUCAGCUGGGAGGAAGGGAGUAAAGUUAAUACCUUUGCUCAUUGACGUUACCCGCAGAAGAAGCACCGGCUAACUCCGUGCCAGCAGCCGCGGUAAUACGGAGGGUGCAAGCGUUAAUCGGAAUUACUGGGCGUAAAGCGCACGCAGGCGGUUUGUUAAGUCAGAUGUGAAAUCCCCGGGCUCAACCUGGGAACUGCAUCUGAUACUGGCAAGCUUGAGUCUCGUAGAGGGGGGUAGAAUUCCAGGUGUAGCGGUGAAAUGCGUAGAGAUCUGGAGGAAUACCGGUGGCGAAGGCGGCCCCCUGGACGAAGACUGACGCUCAGGUGCGAAAGCGUGGGGAGCAAACAGG